CAGCCGCCGCGGGAAUACAGAGGGUGCGAGCGUUAAUCGGAUUUACUGGGCGUAAAGCGUGCGUAGGCGGCUUCUUAAGUCGGAUGUGAAAUCCCUGAGCUUAACUUAGGAAUUGCAUUCGAUACUGGGAAGCUAGAGUAUGGGAGAGGAUGGUAGAAUUCCAGGUGUAGCGGUGAAAUUCGUAGAGAUCUGGAGGAAUACCGAUGGCGAAGGCAGCCAUCUGGCCUAAUACUGACGCUGAGGUACGAAAGCAUGGGGAGCAAACAGGAUUAGAUACCCCUGUAGUCCCUGUCUCUUAUAA
RNAcentral lists this ribosomal RNA (301 nucleotides) under uncultured bacterium. RNAcentral describes it as "partial 16S ribosomal RNA". It matches the Rfam family "Bacterial small subunit ribosomal RNA", at positions 509 to 809 of the family's 1533-position model. The record is from RNAcentral.